RNAcentral lists this ribosomal RNA (438 nucleotides) under uncultured bacterium. Its description in RNAcentral is "bacterial SSU rRNA". It matches the Rfam family "Bacterial small subunit ribosomal RNA", at positions 53 to 479 of the family's 1533-position model. The record is from RNAcentral.
ACAUGCAAGUCGAGGGGCAGCAUUUCAGUUUGCUUGCAAACUGGAGAUGGCGACCGGCGCACGGGUGAGUAACACGUAUCCGACCUGCCGAUAACUCGGGGAUAGCCUUUCGAAAGAAAGAUUAAUACCCGAUGGUAUAAUUAGACCGCAUGGUCUUGUUAUUAAAGAAUUUCGGUUAUCGAUGGGGAUGCGUUCCAUUAGGCAGUUGGUGAGGUAACGGCUCACCAAACCUUCGAUGGAUAGGGGUUCUGAGAGGAAGGUCCCCCACAUUGGAACUGAGACACGGUCCAAACUCCUACGGGAGGCAGCAGUGAGGAAUAUUGGUCAAUGGGCGCAGGCCUGAACCAGCCAAGUAGCGUGAAGGAUGACUGCCCUAUGGGUUGUAAACUUCUUUUAUAUGGGAAUAAAGUUUUCCACGUGUGGAAUUUUGUAUGUACC